Molecule: ribosomal RNA, 424 nt
Filed under: uncultured bacterium
Lineage: Bacteria
Description: partial 16S ribosomal RNA
Rfam family: Bacterial small subunit ribosomal RNA
Source: RNAcentral
AAUAUUGGACAAUGGGCGAAAGCCUGAUCCAGCCAUGCCGCGUGUGUGAAGAAGGUCUUCGGAUUGUAAAGCACUUUAAGUUUGGAGGAAGGGCAGUAAGUCAAUACCUUGCUGUUUUGACGUCACCGACAGAAUAAUCACCGGCUAACUUCGUGCCAGCAGCCGCGGUAAUACGAAGGGUGCAAGCGUUAAUCGGAAUUACUGGGCGUAAAGCGCGCGUAGGUGGUUUGUUAAGUUGGAAGUGAAAGCCCCGGGCUCAACCUGGGAACUGCUUUCAUAACUGCUGAGCUAGAGUACGGUAGAGGGUAGUGGAAUUUCCUGUGUAGCGGUGAAAUGCGUAGAUAUAGGAAGGAACACCAGUGGCGAAGGCGACCACCUGGGCUAAUACUGACACUGAGGUGCGAAAGCGUGGGGAGCAAACAGG